UAAGUAAGAAACAAAAAAUUGUAUUUAGUUUCGACCUAAAAGUUUGGUGAUAAACACCCUUAUUUAA
RNAcentral lists this transfer RNA (67 nucleotides) under Glycyphana fulvistemma. RNAcentral describes it as "tRNA-Arg". Lineage: Eukaryota; Metazoa; Arthropoda; Insecta; Coleoptera; Scarabaeidae. The record is from RNAcentral.